RNAcentral lists this long non-coding RNA (3279 nucleotides) under Citrus sinensis (sweet orange). RNAcentral describes it as "long non-coding RNA (CSIN_LNC003988)". The record is from RNAcentral. Lineage: Eukaryota; Viridiplantae; Streptophyta; Magnoliopsida; Sapindales; Rutaceae.
UGGGAACGCAGCUCAUGUAGUGACACCAUCUGCAACGAUCAUUACCAUUCUCUCCCCGGAAGAGCAUCACCAGUGCAACUGUUAAUCUGCAAUUAAGCCAGAAUAAUAAUUAAACCACUCAGUAGUCAGUACCCGGAACUUUAAAAUGGCUUCGUUCGCAACCUUUCUCUUGCAGAUAUCAUCUUCCAAUACCAAAUGAUUAAAAAUAAUUUUACACGGGGUCUCUACAUUCUGAUUGCCAAGAACUGGGAGUCGGGACAAUGAAUUCAUGGCCCACAACUUCUAUAACGAGGCAUUAUGAGAUACAAUUAUGUUCCCCUUUUCCUCAGCAAUCAUAAUCUGCCUAGGACCCCGGCAAACCACUUCAGAAUUUCAUAAAAUCAUUACUUAUAUAUAAUUUGUAUUGUGCUGUUGGUAUUCAGAUGAUGCUUUCUCCUAUGAAAAUGCAAUUAUUAGGAGUCACUCACCCUGCAAUUAGUAGAACCAGAGAGACCAGCCAUAACACGUAUUGAUGUGUCUUAUACUUGGAUUUUAUGGCGGCACUUCCAGGAAGGUUCCUGCCAUCAAGCCAUCCGUACCGAGGACGGGGCAACAAGACAAAACCAAGGAAGAACCCAGUGAGAAAUCCACCAAUGUGAGCGAAAUUAUCAACAUGCGGCAGAAUUCCUAUAGCGAGAUUAAUUGCAAUGAUGACCAAAAGAGUAAUCAAGGCUGCAGCCUACAAAACAACAUCAUCUAAAGGAGUAAGCAUGAAAAACUGUGUAUCCCAACCUACAGCACAAGAACUAGCAAUAAUAGUAGUAUAAGCAAAGUAAAAUGUGCAGACAACAGCUGGCCUCACUCACCUUGUUGGUAUAAAGACUCCAGUUAGUAAGUAGUUCUGAAAGCAUUGCUCCCAGAAGCCCAAAAAGUGCACCGGAGGCACCAACAGAGAUGCUGUUUCGAAUAAAUAGGCAGGAAAGAACACUCCCACCGAAUCCAGAUAACAGGUAAAUAACUCCAAUCCGCACUGUCCCAUCGUAACAAGAGACGUCAAAUAGACUAAAUUAAGCUCAAAAAUUAAAAACUGCUGUACCGUACAUCCGCCUUGGCCGUACAGCAGCUAAAUUACUCGACUUAAUAAAUUAAAUAAUUAAAAUUUAUUCAUCCUUUCAAAUUGUAAAAGUAUUUUUAGUCAAAAGUUUCAAUAAAUAAACUAAACUCAAUUCAGCAAAAAGAUAUUUGGGUACAGUUGUUUCUUUGUCAGAUACUCUAUCUUUCUUUAAAGAACUAGAAGUUGGUGAUUCUUCUAUUAAAAGCUCUUAAAAUAUCCAAAUUUUAUUUUCUAACUUGUUCUCUUAGUUAAUAUAACUAAUAAAUAAAAUCUGAAAAUUCACAUUAAAAUUUUAUGAAAAUAUUGAUAAUUGCUAAUAUAUCUUAUUUAUGUAAGUAUUUUUAAGUCUAGUGAUGAUGUUAUAUUAUAUUGACAUAUAUAUUUUUUAAUUAGAAGCUUUUUAAAAUAAAUUAAGGCAGCAAUAAAAUUUUAACACCCUAAUGUUUUCAAUCUAUUCAAUAAAUAUAUAAGUUAAUCAUUUUAUAAAAUAAGUCACUAAUUUCAAUUGAAAAUAAUAUAAUUGACUUAGGGACAUAUUUAUAAAUAAAAUAAAAACUUUAUUAUUAUAUAAAAUUAAUGAAAAUAUAUGGGUAAUUGAGUUAGGGACAUAUUUAAAUAUAAAAUGAAAAUUCUAUUGUUAUACUAAAUUGAUGAAAAUAUAAACAUAUAUAUUUUUUAAUUAGAAGCUUUUUAAAAUAAAUUAAGGCAGCAAUAAAAUUUUAACACCCUAAUGUUUUCAAUCUAUUCAAUAAAUAUAUAAGUUAAUCAUUUUAUAAAAUAAGUCACUAAUUUCAAUUGAAAAUAAUAUAAUUGACUUAGGGACAUAUUUAUAAAUAAAAUAAAAACUUUAUUAUUAUAUAAAAUUAAUGAAAAUAUAUGGGUAAUUGAGUUAGGGACAUAUUUAAAUAUAAAAUGAAAAUUCUAUUGUUAUACUAAAUUGAUGAAAAUAUAAGGUAGUUGAGUUAGGGACAUAUAUGAAAAUAAAAUGAAAACUCUAUUAUUUUACUAAAUUAUUAAAAAAGUAAGGGGUGUAAAUCAUUUUUUCUAAACUAGACCGGGCUACGGCCCGGUCUAGCCCACGUGCAGGUCCGCCACUGGCUGUUGUUUACUUGUCGUACUCAAAUGCGUUAAGAGAAAGAAAGCUAAAGUAUACACGCAAUAAUUCUAUUACGAUGGCAAAACGCCGAAAGUAAAAGCAACUACAAAGGUGGUCUCCCGAGUUUAAAAUCAUGAUAAAGAAUCAAGCAUGAAGAAAUCCAGCUUCUAAGCUAUAACUAUGCAUGCAUUUACAUGUGAACGUAGAGCUAGCAAUUGCAAUCUACACAUUUCCUUCGCAAUUCCAACUGGAGGUGGGAACGCAGCUCAUGUAGUGACACCAUCUGCAACGAUCAUUACCAUUCUCUCCCCGGAAGAGCAUCACCAGUGCAACUGUUAAUCUGCAAUUAAGCCAGAAUAAUAAUUAAACCACUCAGUAGUCAGUACCCGGAACUUUAAAAUGGCUUCGUUCGCAACCUUUCUCUUGCAGAUAUCAUCUUCCAAUACCAAAUGAUUAAAAAUAAUUUUACACGGGGUCUCUACAUUCUGAUUGCCAAGAACUGGGAGUCGGGACAAUGAAUUCAUGGCCCACAACUUCUAUAACGAGGCAUUAUGAGAUACAAUUAUGUUCCCCUUUUCCUCAGCAAUCAUAAUCUGCCUAGGACCCCGGCAAACCACUUCAGAAUUUCAUAAAAUCAUUACUUAUAUAUAAUUUGUAUUGUGCUGUUGGUAUUCAGAUGAUGCUUUCUCCUAUGAAAAUGCAAUUAUUAGGAGUCACUCACCCUGCAAUUAGUAGAACCAGAGAGACCAGCCAUAACACGUAUUGAUGUGUCUUAUACUUGGAUUUUAUGGCGGCACUUCCAGGAAGGUUCCUGCCAUCAAGCCAUCCGUACCGAGGACGGGGCAACAAGACAAAACCAAGGAAGAACCCAGUGAGAAAUCCACCAAUGUGAGCGAAAUUAUCAACAUGCGGCAGAAUUCCUAUAGCGAGAUUAAUUGCAAUGAUGACCAAAAGAGUAAUCAAGGCUGCAGCCUACAAAACAACAUCAUCUAAAGGAGUAAGCAUGAAAAACUGUGUAUCCCAACCUACAGCACAAGAACUAGCAAUAAUAGUAGUAUAAGCAAAGUAAAAUGUGCAGACAACAGCUGGC